UGGGGAAUAUUGCGCAAUGGGCGAAAGCCUGACGCAGCGACGCCGCGUGUGGGAUGACGGCCUUCGGGUUGUAAACCACUGUCGGGAGGGACGAAUGCCCCGCAAGGGGAGUGACGGUACCUCCAAAGGAAGCACCGGCUAACUCCGUGCCAGCAGCCGCGGUAAUACGGAGGGUGCGAGCGUUGUCCGGAAUCACUGGGCGUAAAGGGCGCGUAGGCGGCCUGAUAAGUAGGGGGUGAAAUCCUGCGGCUUAACCGCAGGGCUGCCUUCUAAACUGCAGGCUCGAGCACAGUAGAGGCAGGUGGAAUUCCCGGUGUAGCGGUGGAAUGCGUAGAGAUCGGGGAAGAACAUCAGUGGCGAAGGCGGCCUGCUGGGCUGUUGCUGACGCUGAGGCGCGACAGCGUGGGGAGCAAACAGGAUUAGAUACCCUGGUAGUCCACGCCGUAAACGAUGGACACUAGGCGUGGGUCUCGAACCAACGAGAUCCGCGCCGUCG
This 496-nucleotide ribosomal RNA is filed under the name uncultured bacterium. RNAcentral's name for it is "bacterial SSU rRNA". It matches the Rfam family "Bacterial small subunit ribosomal RNA", at positions 355 to 851 of the family's 1533-position model. The record is from RNAcentral.